This 412-nucleotide unclassified non-coding RNA is filed under the name soil metagenome. RNAcentral describes it as "partial contains 5.8S ribosomal RNA, internal transcribed spacer 2, and large subunit ribosomal RNA". The stretch from base 1 to 122 matches the Rfam family "5.8S ribosomal RNA", at positions 35 to 154 of the family's 154-position model. The record is from RNAcentral.
GAUGAAGAACGUAGCGAAAUGCGAUACUUGGUGUGAAUUGCAGAAUCCCGUGAACCAUCGAGUCUUUGAACGCAAGUUGCGCCCGAAGCCGUCAGGCCGAGGGCACGCCUGCCUGGGCGUCACACGCCGUUGCCCCCCCGCGCCCCGCACCCAACUCUUUGGGAGCGACCGCGGGGCGGGCUGAUGAUGGCUUCCCGUGCGCUCCGCCGCGCGGUUGGCCCAAAUACCGAGUCCCCGGCGACGUGCGCCACGACGAUCGGUGGUUGAGAGACCUCUGUCGCAAGUCGUGCGCGCCCGUCGCGUCACGCGGGCUCGCAUAGCGCCUCGCGCCGCACCCGGUGCGGAGCUUUCAACGCGACCCCAGGUCAGGCGGGGUUACCCGCUGAAUUUAAGCAUAUCAAUAAGCGGAGGA